Molecule: ribosomal RNA, 2902 nt
Filed under: Klebsiella pneumoniae
Lineage: Bacteria; Pseudomonadati; Pseudomonadota; Gammaproteobacteria; Enterobacterales; Enterobacteriaceae
Description: 23S ribosomal RNA
Rfam family: Bacterial large subunit ribosomal RNA
Source: RNAcentral
GGUUAAGCGACUAAGCGUACACGGUGGAUGCCCUGGCAGUCAGAGGCGAUGAAGGACGUGCUAAUCUGCGAAAAGCGUCGGUAAGGUGAUAUGAACCGUUAUAGCCGGCGAUGUCCGAAUGGGGAAACCCAGUGUGAUUCGUCACACUAUCGUUAACUGAAUACAUAGGUUAACGAGGCGAACCGGGGGAACUGAAACAUCUAAGUACCCCGAGGAAAAGAAAUCAACCGAGAUUCCCCCAGUAGCGGCGAGCGAACGGGGAGCAGCCCAGAGUCUGAAUCAGCUUGUGUGUUAGUGGAACGGUCUGGAAAGUCCGACGGUACAGGGUGAUAGUCCCGUACACCAAAAUGCACAGGUUGUGAACUCGAAGAGUAGGGCGGGACACGUGGUAUCCUGUCUGAAUAUGGGGGGACCAUCCUCCAAGGCUAAAUACUCCUGACUGACCGAUAGUGAACCAGUACCGUGAGGGAAAGGCGAAAAGAACCCCGGCGAGGGGAGUGAAAAAGAACCUGAAACCGUGUACGUACAAGCAGUGGGAGCACCUUCGGGUGUGACUGCGUACCUUUUGUAUAAUGGGUCAGCGACUUAUAUUCUGUAGCAAGGUUAACCGUAUAGGGGAGCCGCAGGGAAACCGAGUCUUAACUGGGCGUUAAGUUGCAGGGUAUAGACCCGAAACCCGGUGAUCUAGCCAUGGGCAGGUUGAAGGUUGGGUAACACUAACUGGAGGACCGAACCGACUAAUGUUGAAAAAUUAGCGGAUGACUUGUGGCUGGGGGUGAAAGGCCAAUCAAACCGGGAGAUAGCUGGUUCUCCCCGAAAGCUAUUUAGGUAGCGCCUCGUGAACUCAUCUUCGGGGGUAGAGCACUGUUUCGGCUAGGGGGUCAUCCCGACUUACCAACCCGAUGCAAACUACGAAUACCGAAGAAUGUUAUCACGGGAGACACACGGCGGGUGCUAACGUCCGUCGUGAAGAGGGAAACAACCCAGACCGCCAGCUAAGGUCCCAAAGUCAUGGUUAAGUGGGAAACGAUGUGGGAAGGCACAGACAGCCAGGAUGUUGGCUUAGAAGCAGCCAUCAUUUAAAGAAAGCGUAAUAGCUCACUGGUCGAGUCGGCCUGCGCGGAAGAUGUAACGGGGCUAAACCAUGCACCGAAGCUGCGGCAGCGACACGAUGUGUUGUUGGGUAGGGGAGCGUUCUGUAAGCCUGCGAAGGUGUGCUGUGAGGCAUGCUGGAGGUAUCAGAAGUGCGAAUGCUGACAUAAGUAACGAUAAAGCGGGUGAAAAGCCCGCUCGCCGGAAGACCAAGGGUUCCUGUCCAACGUUAAUCGGGGCAGGGUGAGUCGACCCCUAAGGCGAGGCCGAAAGGCGUAGUCGAUGGGAAACAGGUUAAUAUUCCUGUACUUGGUGUUACUGCGAAGGGGGGACGGAGAAGGCUAUGUUAGCCGGGCGACGGUUGUCCCGGUUUAAGCAUGUAGGCUGGUUGUCCAGGCAAAUCCGGAUAAUCAAGGCUGAGGUGUGAUGACGAGGCACUACGGUGCUGAAGUAACAAAUGCCCUGCUUCCAGGAAAAGCCUCUAAGCAUCAGGUAACAUUAAAUCGUACCCCAAACCGACACAGGUGGUCAGGUAGAGAAUACCAAGGCGCUUGAGAGAACUCGGGUGAAGGAACUAGGCAAAAUGGUGCCGUAACUUCGGGAGAAGGCACGCUGGUGUGUAGGUGAAGCCCCUGCGGGUGGAGCUGAGACCAGUCGAAGAUACCAGCUGGCUGCAACUGUUUAUUAAAAACACAGCACUGUGCAAACACGAAAGUGGACGUAUACGGUGUGACGCCUGCCCGGUGCCGGAAGGUUAAUUGAUGGGGUUAUCCGUAAGGAGAAGCUCUUGAUCGAAGCCCCGGUAAACGGCGGCCGUAACUAUAACGGUCCUAAGGUAGCGAAAUUCCUUGUCGGGUAAGUUCCGACCUGCACGAAUGGCGUAAUGAUGGCCAGGCUGUCUCCACCCGAGACUCAGUGAAAUUGAACUCGCUGUGAAGAUGCAGUGUACCCGCGGCAAGACGGAAAGACCCCGUGAACCUUUACUAUAGCUUGACACUGAACAUUGAGCCUUGAUGUGUAGGAUAGGUGGGAGGCUUUGAAGCGUGGACGCCAGUCUGCGUGGAGCCAACCUUGAAAUACCACCCUUUAAUGUUUGAUGUUCUAACGUUGGCCCCUGACCGGGGUUGCGGACAGUGUCUGGUGGGUAGUUUGACUGGGGCGGUCUCCUCCCAAAGCGUAACGGAGGAGCACGAAGGUUAGCUAAUCCUGGUCGGACAUCAGGAGGUUAGUGCAAUGGCAUAAGCUAGCUUGACUGCGAGCGUGACGGCGCGAGCAGGUGCGAAAGCAGGUCAUAGUGAUCCGGUGGUUCUGAAUGGAAGGGCCAUCGCUCAACGGAUAAAAGGUACUCCGGGGAUAACAGGCUGAUACCGCCCAAGAGUUCAUAUCGACGGCGGUGUUUGGCACCUCGAUGUCGGCUCAUCACAUCCUGGGGCUGAAGUAGGUCCCAAGGGUAUGGCUGUUCGCCAUUUAAAGUGGUACGCGAGCUGGGUUUAGAACGUCGUGAGACAGUUCGGUCCCUAUCUGCCGUGGGCGCUGGAGAAUUGAGGGGGGCUGCUCCUAGUACGAGAGGACCGGAGUGGACGCAUCACUGGUGUUCGGGUUGUCAUGCCAAUGGCACUGCCCGGUAGCUAAAUGCGGAAGAGAUAAGUGCUGAAAGCAUCUAAGCACGAAACUUGCCCCGAGAUGAGUUCUCCCUGAGACUUUAAGUCUCCUGAAGGAACGUUGAAGACGACGACGUUGAUAGGCCGGGUGUGUAAGCGCAGCGAUGCGUUGAGCUAACCGGUACUAAUGAACCGUGAGGCUUAACCUU